RNAcentral lists this ribosomal RNA (253 nucleotides) under uncultured bacterium. RNAcentral describes it as "partial 16S ribosomal RNA". It matches the Rfam family "Bacterial small subunit ribosomal RNA", at positions 524 to 776 of the family's 1533-position model. The record is from RNAcentral.
UACGAAGGGGGCUAGCGUUGCUCGGAAUGACUGGGCGUAAAGGGCGCGUAGGCGGCUCAUACAGUCAGAUGUGAAAUUCCUGGGCUUAACCUGGGGGCUGCAUUUGAUACGUGUGGGCUUGAGUGGGGAAGAGGGUCGUGGAAUUCCCAGUGUAGGGGUGAAAUUCGUAGAUAUUGGGAAGAACACCGGUGGCGAAGGCGGCGACCUGGUCCUUGACUGACGCUGAGGCGCGAAAGCGUGGGGAGCGAACAGG